AUCUAACUUUCUAGAAGCUUCCAUCACCAAUAUUGCAGUAAAUAUUUUCAAUCGAGGGCAAGCAUGCCACCCUUAAACAGCUCACCUUUGAGUUAGUAUCUUACGGUCAUCUUUUCAUAGCCAUAUAGGCAUCCUGAUGCACUUUUAAGUCUCUGCUUAAGCUAUCUCGUCCCAGAAUGCCCUUCGUCAGUUGUUCAGCAACUUAUUAAAGAAAUCUUAGACUACUUUAAGUUCCUUCCUGUAACAGUGUCAUGGCGAGCAUUUGUGUAUUUGUUAAAACCUUUUCUUCAAGUAUCCAUGCACUCAGAUACUGACGUCGGUAGAGUGAAUACUUUUGUAAGCCACUGUGUCAGAAGUACAGUCAAAGUUCUGUCACUGAACCAAGAGCUUCUCCAGCCCUGCGUAAAAACCUGGAUGUUUUAAUCACUUCAUUUUAGCAUCUCUUUAGCAUCGGAGACUGGCUUGCUGUAUGGGAGAGAGUCUGGCAGUGACUAAUUCAGUGUUCCAAACAUGGCAUUCCUCUCACUGCUUUCUGCUUUACAUGUAAUGAUGAUAAGGAAUUGCUUCAAAAUCAGCACAGAGAGCAAACUUAUGAAUACAAUACAAGAGCCACCAUUUCUCCAUCUGUGGCAUACGUCCUCGUGCCCACACGAUUCAACUCAGCACACAUGACCUGAGCACCUACUGUGUGCCUGGCCGUGCACAGUGUGAUAGCUGUGAAUAGUACAAAUUUCCAAAUCAGAGAGCUCAGUUUCUUGAUAUUUCUACACGGACACACUGUACAGGGUAAGAAGUUAAGGAUUUGUUUCCUAAGAAUCCCUUAAAUUUGAAUAAUUAUGGAAAACAUUGACACCCCCCACCUUGGCUAGAAUAGGGGGAGAAGGAACGUGCUGGAAGAGGCUCUCCAAUAACAAAUGAAAGGCAGCUGUCAAAAUAGACUCAAAUAGCACACUCAUAAACUGCUUGCGCAAUCAGAAAAUAUUAUCCUUUUUCUAGGGAGAAAUAGGACAUUUCUCUACAGUAAGCAAAAUGUAACUUUUUGAAGGGUCAAUACACUUGACAUUUUUAUGUUACUUAUACAGACAGAACUGAACAAACAUUAAUGUGGCUUUCACAGUCAUGGGUAUAAUUUUCAGGAUGAUGAAAAGCACAGACUAUGCCCGUGGAAUUUAAAGAAUUAAACAGAAUGUGCCUGUGAAACAUGACUUUAGACAUGUACUACAUGAGAUGGUUUAGCCAUGGCUGUUCACAUGUAAUAUCACUGUAUCAGUAAAGCGAUUUAAUAAACACUCGACACAGU
Molecule: long non-coding RNA, 1300 nt
Filed under: Rattus norvegicus (Norway rat)
Lineage: Eukaryota; Metazoa; Chordata; Mammalia; Rodentia; Muridae
Description: long non-coding RNA NONRATT005869
Source: RNAcentral